CUACGGGACGCUCCAGUGAGGAAUAUUGGUCAAUGGGCGCGAGCCUGAACCAGCCAUCCCGCAUGCAGGAUGACGGCCCUAUGGGUUGUAAACUGCUUUUCUAUGCCAAGAAACCUGAUUACGUGUAAUCAGUUGCCGGUAGCAUAGGAAUAAGCAUCGGCUAACUCCGUGCCAGCAGCCGCGGUAAUACGGAGGAUGCAAGCGUUAUCCGGAUUCAUUGGGUUUAAAGGGUGCGCAGGUGGGCUUGUAAGUCAGUGGUGAAAUGCUGCCGCUUAACGGUAGAACUGCCAUUGAUACUGCGAGUCUUGAGUAUGGUUGAGGUAGGCGGAAUGUGUUGUGUAGCGGUGAAAUGCAUAGAUAUGACACAGAACGCCAAUUGCGAAGGCAGCUUACUAAGCCAUUACUGACGCUGAGGCACGAAAGCGUGGGGAGCGAACAGGAUUAGAUACCCGUGUAGUC
Molecule: ribosomal RNA, 459 nt
Filed under: uncultured bacterium
Lineage: Bacteria
Description: partial 16S ribosomal RNA
Rfam family: Bacterial small subunit ribosomal RNA
Source: RNAcentral